GACGAACGCUGGCGGCGUGCCUAAUACAUGCAAGUCGAUCGAGCGGCGGACGGGUGAGUAAUGUAUGGGGAUCUGCUCGAUAGGGGGGGAUAACUCCUGGAAACGGUGGCUAAUACCGCAUACUCACGGCUUGACCCAUAUGGGAUUAGCUAGUAGGGGGGGUAAAGGCUCACCUAGGCGACGACCUCUACCUGGUCUGAGAGGAUGACCAGCCAAACUGGGACUGAGACACGGCCCAGACUCCUACGGGAGGCAGCAGUGGGGAAUAUUGCACAAUGGGCGCAAGCCUGAUGCAGCCAGGCCGCGUGUAUGAAGAAGGUCUUAGGGUUGUAAAGUACUUUCAGCGGGGAGGCGUUACCCGCAGAAGAAGCACCGGCUAACUCCGUGCCAGCAGCCGCGGUAAUAC
RNAcentral lists this ribosomal RNA (406 nucleotides) under uncultured bacterium. RNAcentral describes it as "partial 16S ribosomal RNA". It matches the Rfam family "Bacterial small subunit ribosomal RNA", at positions 28 to 526 of the family's 1533-position model. The record is from RNAcentral.